This 449-nucleotide ribosomal RNA is filed under the name uncultured bacterium. RNAcentral describes it as "partial 16S ribosomal RNA". It matches the Rfam family "Bacterial small subunit ribosomal RNA", at positions 29 to 523 of the family's 1533-position model. The record is from RNAcentral.
AGCGAACGCUGGCGGCAGGCCUAACACAUGCAAGUCGAACGAACCCUUCGGGGUUCGUGGCGGACGGGUGAGUAACACGUGGGAACGUGCCUUUAGGUUCGGACUAACUCAGGGAAACUUGUGCUAAUACCGACUGUGCCCUUCGGGGGAAAGAUUUAUCGCCUUUAGAGCGGCCCGCGUCUGAUUAGCUAGUUGGUGAGGUAAAGGCUCACCAAGGCUACGAUCAGUAGCUGGGCUGCGAGGAUGACCAGCCACAUUGGGACUGAGACACGGCCCAAACUCCUACGGGAGGCAGCAGUGGGGAAUCUUGCGCAAUGGGCGAAAGCCUGACGCAGCCAUGCCGCGUGGAUGAUGAAGGUCUUAGGAUUGUAAAAUCCUUUCACCGGUGAAGAUAAUGACUGUAGCCGGAGAAGAAGCCCCGGCUAACUUCGUGCCAGCCGCCGCGGUAA